Molecule: ribosomal RNA, 273 nt
Filed under: uncultured Staphylococcus sp.
Lineage: Bacteria; Bacillati; Bacillota; Bacilli; Caryophanales; Staphylococcaceae
Description: partial 16S ribosomal RNA
Rfam family: Bacterial small subunit ribosomal RNA
Source: RNAcentral
ACGUUAGCGGCGGACGGGUGAGUAACACGUGGGUAACCUACCUAUAAGACUGGGAUAACUUCGGGAAACCGGAGCUAAUACCGGAUAAUAUUUCGAACCGCAUGGUUCUAUAGUGAAAGGUGGUUUUGCUAUCACUUAUAGAUGGACCUGCGCCGUAUUAGCUAGUUGGUAAGGUAACGGCUUACCAAGGCGACGAUACGUAGCCGACCUGAGAGGGUGAUCGGCCACACUGGGACUGAGACACGGUCCAGACUCCUACGGGAGGCAGCAGGC